CUUAAGUACGCGUACCUGUCGUCAGGAUACACUGCCCACAAGCAGGGAAGGCCACUGUGGGUACAUUCCUGAGGGUGACACGCACUUAUCCAUGUUGCCUCAAGCCUGUGGAAAACUAAACAGACACCCUCCGAUCAGUUCGCACAGUUUCAUUAAUUUUCUUCCUACCAUGAAGUGACAACAGAAAGGGUACAUUCGGAGAAAUAAUUGGGAAAUCCCUGACAGCACUGAAAGAGAGAGCUGUAGCUAGAAGGAGCCAGAAAGCCAAGGAACCACUUGACGGCUGCAGCGCUCAUCACCUCGGCACAUAUAUGAAAAGUAGCUACGUUGAUCACCUGACCUCCCUUGGGCGUUAUUGAGCUUGAUGUCCGUCAGCAGGCUCCCCUUGGCUUCCUGGAGGGUCUCAAGCUUGUGGGUGAGGCUUCCAAUCAACUCCGCCUGGAACGAGAGGGGAGACGCAUAGCAAAACUUAGCC
Lagenorhynchus albirostris (white-beaked dolphin) is the source of this 475-nucleotide long non-coding RNA. RefSeq lists it as uncharacterized. The record is from RefSeq and is a predicted model, not a curated record. NCBI's taxonomy places the organism in Eukaryota, Metazoa, Chordata, Mammalia, Artiodactyla, Delphinidae. The transcript has 3 exons.